AGUCAAGUAAUUAAGUGCAUGUGGUGGAUGCCUUGGCAGUCAGAGGCGAUGAAAGACGUGAUAGCCUGCGAAAAGCUCCGGGGAGGCGGCAAAUAUCCUUUGAUCCGGAGAUGUCUGAAUGGGGGAACCCACCUACUUUAAGGUAGGUAUUGCAACAUGAAUACAUAGUGUUGCAAGGCGAACGAGGGGAAGUGAAACAUCUCAGUACCCUUAGGAAAAGAAAUCAAUUGAGAUUCCCUCAGUAGCGGCGAGCGAACGGGGAUCAGCCCAUUAAGUUAUGUGUGUUUUAGUGGAACGCUCUGGGAAGUGCGAACGUAGAGGGUGAUAUUCCCGUACACGAAAGGGCACACAUAAUGAUGACGAGUAGGGCGAGGCACGUGAAACCUUGUCUGAAUAUGGGGGGACCAUCCUCCAAGGCUAAAUACUCCUGACUGACCGAUAGUGAACCAGUACCGUGAGGGAAAGGCGAAAAGAACCCCUGUGAGGGGAGUGAAAUAGAUCCUGAAACCGCAUGCAUACAAGCAGUGGGAGCACCUUCGUGGUGUGACUGCGUACCUUUUGUAUAAUGGGUCAGCGACUUAUAUUCAGUAGCGAGGUUAACCGUAUAGGGGAGCCGUAGAGAAAUCGAGUCUUAAUAGGGCGUUUAGUUGCUGGGUAUAGACCCGAAACCAGGCGAUCUAUCCAUGAGCAGGUUGAAGGUUGGGUAACACUAACUGGAGGACCGAACCCACUGUCGUUGAAAAGCCAGGGGAUGACUUGUGGAUAGGGGUGAAAGGCUAAUCAAGCCUGGUGAUAGCUGGUUCUCCCCGAAAGCUAUUUAGGUAGCGCCUCGGACGAAUACCAUAGGGGGUAGAGCACUGUUUCGGCUAGGGGGUCAUCCCGACUUACCAAACCGAUGCAAACUCCGAAUACCUAUGAGUACUAUCCGGGAGACAGACUGCGGGUGCUAACGUCCGUAGUCAAGAGGAAAACAAUCCAGACCGCCAGCUAAGGCCCCAAAAUCAUAGUUAAGUGGGAAACGAUGUGGGAAGGCAUAGACAGCUAGGAGGUUGGCUUAGAAGCAGCCACCCUUUAAGGAAAGCGUAAUAGCUCACUAGUCGAGUCGGCCUGCGCGGAAGAUGUAACGGGGCUAAAACUAUGUGCCGAAGCUGCGGAUGUAUACUUUGUAUACGUGGUAGGGGAGCGUUCUGUAAGCCGAUGAAGGUGUGUUGAGAAGCAUGCUGGAGGUAUCAGAAGUGCGAAUGCUGACGUGAGUAACGACAAAACGGGUGAAAAACCCGUUCGCCGAAAGACCAAGGGUUCCAGUCCAACGUUAAUCGGGGCUGGGUGAGUCGACCCCUAAGGCGAGGCCGAAAGGCGUAGUCGAUGGGAAAAUGGUUAAUAUUCCAUUACUUCUGUGUAAUGCGAUGAGAGGACGGAGAAGGCUAAAUCAGCCUGGCGUUGGUUGUCCAGGUGAAAGGAUGUAGGCAUGUAUCUUAGGCAAAUCCGGGGUACUCUAUGCUGAGAUCUGAUAGCAAGCUGUACUUGUACAGCGAAGUGGUUGAUGCCAUGCUUCCAGGAAAAGUCUCUAAGCUUCAGUUACACAGGAAUCGUACCCGAAACCGACACAGGUGGUCAGGUCGAGUAGACCAAGGCGCUUGAGAGAACUCUGCUGAAGGAACUAGGCAAAAUGGUACCGUAACUUCGGGAGAAGGUACGCUGUUGUUGGUGAUGGAACUCGCUUCCUGAGCUGACGACAGCCGCAGAAACCAGGCCGCUGCAACUGUUUAUUAAAAACAUAGCACUCUGCAAACACGAAAGUGGACGUAUAGGGUGUGAUGCCUGCCCGGUGCUGGAAGGUUAAUUGAUGGGGUUAGCGUAAGCGAAGCUCUUGAUCGAAGCCCCAGUAAACGGCGGCCGUAACUAUAACGGUCCUAAGGUAGCGAAAUUCCUUGUCGGGUAAGUUCCGACCUGCACGAAUGGCAUAAUGAUGGCGGCGCUGUCUCCAGCAGAGGCUCAGUGAAAUCGAAAUCGCUGUGAAGAUGCAGUGUACCCGCGGCUAGACGGAAAGACCCCGUGAACCUUUACUGCAGCUUGACACUGAACUUUGACCUUACUUGUGUAGGAUAGGUGGGAGGCUUUGAAGCUGGAACGCUAGUUCCAGUGGAGCCGUCCUUGAAAUACCACCCUGGUAAUGUUGAGGUUCUAACUCUGUCCCGUGAUCCGGGACGAGGACCGUGUCUGGUGGGUAGUUUGACUGGGGCGGUCUCCUCCUAAAGAGUAACGGAGGAGUACGAAGGUGCGCUCAGCGUGGUCGGAAAUCACGCGUAGAGUAUAAAGGCAAAAGCGCGCUUAACUGCGAGACCCACAAGUCGAGCAGGUACGAAAGUAGGUCUUAGUGAUCCGGUGGUUCUGUAUGGAAGGGCCAUCGCUCAACGGAUAAAAGGUACUCUGGGGAUAACAGGCUGAUACCGCCCAAGAGUUCAUAUCGACGGCGGUGUUUGGCACCUCGAUGUCGGCUCAUCUCAUCCUGGGGCUGAAGCAGGUCCCAAGGGUAUGGCUGUUCGCCAUUUAAAGAGGUACGCGAGCUGGGUUUAGAACGUCGUGAGACAGUUCGGUCCCUAUCUACCGUGGGCGCUGGAAAUUUGAGAGGAUCUGCUCCUAGUACGAGAGGACCAGAGUGGACGAACCUCUGGUGUACCGGUUGUGACGCCAGUCGCAUCGCCGGGUAGCUAUGUUCGGAAGGGAUAACCGCUGAAAGCAUCUAAGCGGGAAGCCUACCUCAAGAUAAGAUUUCCCUAGGACUUUAUGUCCUCUAAAGAGCCGUUCGAGACUAGGACGUUGAUAGGUUGGAUGUGGAAGCAUAGUGAUAUGUGAAGCUGACCAAUACUAAUUGCUCGUGAGGCUUGACUAU
This 2893-nucleotide ribosomal RNA is filed under the name Acinetobacter baumannii. RNAcentral describes it as "23S ribosomal RNA". It matches the Rfam family "Bacterial large subunit ribosomal RNA". Lineage: Bacteria; Pseudomonadati; Pseudomonadota; Gammaproteobacteria; Moraxellales; Moraxellaceae. The record is from RNAcentral.